This is an RNA transcript of Cervus elaphus (red deer), 2296 nucleotides long. It is a transcript of the gene named lectin, mannose binding 1 like, with no coding region annotated. The transcript is spliced from 13 exons. NCBI's taxonomy places the organism in Eukaryota, Metazoa, Chordata, Mammalia, Artiodactyla, Cervidae. The record is from RefSeq and is a predicted model, not a curated record.
AGGAGCCAGGACGAGGGGCCCACCCCAGGCAGGGAGGAAAGUCAGAGCUGCUGAGGGUGGCUCGUCCCAGUGACCCGCUGAGGUCCUGCAGCCACUGGGACAGAAGGAAGGAGGAAGGAUGGCCUGAGCCGAGGAGCAGGGGCAGAGCUCAGGUUGGCAGGAGGUCAGGCUGCCUCAUCAGGCUGGAGCGGCAAGUCCACCCUGGGGCCCGGAUACUAGAUCCCUUCGCAAUGAGGGUGGUCCGUGGCCUGGAGCCCUUGCUCUGCCUUCUCCUCCUCGUACUCCUGGACCCCCACAGCCCCGAGGGGGGCCAUCUGCCUCAGCGAAGAUUUGAGUACAAGCUCAGCUUCAAAGGACCAAGGCUGGCAUUGCCUGGGGUUGGAAUACCCUUCUGGAGCCAUCACGGAGAUGCCAUCCCGGGCCUGGAGGAGGUACGGCUGGCCCCAUCCAUGCGGAACCGGAGUGGCGCCGUGUGGAGUACAACCCCCAUCCUCUUCCCUGCCUGGGAGGUGGAGAUACAGAUGAGGGUGACCGGGCCGGGGCGCCGGGGAGCCCAGGGCAUGGCUGUGUGGUACACCCAGGGCAGGGGCCAGGUAGGCCCUGUCCUGGGGGCGCCGGACUUGGGGGACGGCAUUGGAAUCCUCUUCGACUCCUCAGCCCAAGAUCCCCAGAACAGCCCUGCCAUCCAUGUGCUGGCCAGAGAUGGGCACACCCCCUACGAGCCGCUUGGGGAUGGAGGCAGCCUGGUGCUGGGCUCCUGCCGCCAGGACUUCCGGAACCGGCCGUACCCCUUCAGAGCACGGAUCACCUACUGGGGGCAGAGGCUGCGUGUGACUUUGAACAGCGGCCUCACUCCCAGCGACCCAGAUGAGGUCUGUGUCGAUGUGGGGCCCCUGCUUUUGGCCCCUGGAGGUUUCUUUGGGGUCUCGGCGGCCACGAGCAUCCUGGCAGAUGACCAUGACGUCCUGUCCUUCCUGACCUUCAGUCUGCAUGAGCCGGGUCCAGAGCCUCCCUCACAGCCCUUCCUGGAGACAGAGCAGCUCCGCCUGGAGAAGCAGCUGGAAGGGCUGCGGGCAAGGCUGGGCCUGGGCACCAAGGAAGACAUGACUCCAAAGCUGAACUAUGGAGUCCAGGAAGAGGGGGAACAAAGCUUUGGCCUGGAGGAGACACUGCACAGACACAGGCAGAUCCUGCAGACCCUCCAGGGUCUCUCCAAGCACUUGGCACAGGCUGAGCAGCAAUGGAAGCAGCAGCUGGGGUCCCCAGGCCAGAUCAGGCCUGAGGGAGGAUGGGACUCAGCCAAGGUCAGUGCCCUACUCCAUGGACAGCAGACUCUGCUGCAAGACCUGCAAGAGAUGAGGGAUGCAGCUGCUCACAUGGCCUCAAGAGCCCAGGUCUUCUACCUGCCCGUGGGCACCAAGCAUCAUUUCUCAGAGCUGGCCCAGAUCCUGAGCCUCCUGCAGAAGGACCUGCGGGGCCCAGCGGUGAGAGGGACAGCAGCGAGGACCACGGGGCUCAGCCCCCUUCUUCUAGCACUUCCACAGCCCCAGGCCCCUCCUGCCUUUGCCCUCCCCCCCUGGGACUCCUGUCAGACACACCUGUGUCCGUCGUGUCUGUGUGUGCAUGCACACGGGCAUGCAGGCACAGGGAUCGCAUUUUCUCUCUGCCUCCUCUGCUCUCUGGAGAGUUCCACAGACUGUCAGUACCAGCAGGGCCCUGGAGAUCACUUGGUCCAACUCCUACAAUGACCAGAAGAUAAAUGGGAAUGGUCUGUGCCCAAGAUCAUUCAAAGCUUAGUGGUGAAGUCCGCUCUUUCCUGUGCCCUACUCCAUCUUGCUCUUUUCCUUGCCCUCUCCAUCACCCUGUCUUUUGCUCUGUAUUUCUCUCUCUCACUUAUCUCUAGAGCCUUCAGCACCCUGAAAAUCCCAGGCCCCAGGCCCUCCUGGCUGUUCCCACAAAUAGGGACAUAGGAGCUGGGGUGGGGAGGCAGCUUUGUACCCUGCCUCCUCUCCAAGUUCCUUGGAUGAAAGCCAAGGUACCCCAACACUGAGAGAGGGAAACAAAGCCCCACAGUGGUCCAGAUUCUACGUCCUCUCCCUCCUUCUGAGUAAGAAGCUGAUCUAAGAUCUUAGAACAUCUCUUUUCAGAGAGCAGCAGCCAAGGACCCUCGCUCACCUGGCAGGUCCCCAAGGGUUUCCUCGUGCCUGCAGCCUGGCAUCUUCCUGUUCUUCCUCCUCAUCCAGACUGUAGGCUUCUUCUGCUAUGUACACUUCAGCAAGCAGAAGCUGGACAUGGG